UUUGAAAUUUAUAUUUUAGUAAAAAAGCUAAAAUUAUUUAUAGGGACGAGAAGACCCUAUCAAGUUUUACAAUCUAAAAUUUAUUUUCAAAUUAAAUUUAAAAUUGUUUUGCUGGGGCAGCAGAUAAAAAGUUUUUAUUUAAAAAUUAUGAUAAAUAAAUCUUGAAAAAUCAAAAAAUUUUUAAUUAAAAAUAAAUUACUGUAGGGAUAACAGCAUAAUUUUUUUAGAGAGUUCUUAUCAUCAAAAAAGUUUGUGACCUCGAUGUUGGAUUAAAAUUCCUAAUUCGUGCAAUAAUGAAAUAA
RNAcentral lists this ribosomal RNA (302 nucleotides) under Paravaejovis confusus. RNAcentral's name for it is "partial 16S ribosomal RNA". Lineage: Eukaryota; Metazoa; Arthropoda; Arachnida; Scorpiones; Vaejovidae. The record is from RNAcentral.